Molecule: ribosomal RNA, 796 nt
Filed under: uncultured Pelagibacteraceae bacterium
Lineage: Bacteria; Pseudomonadati; Pseudomonadota; Alphaproteobacteria; Candidatus Pelagibacterales; Candidatus Pelagibacteraceae
Description: bacterial SSU rRNA
Rfam family: Bacterial small subunit ribosomal RNA
Source: RNAcentral
CGCCUAACACAUGCAAGUCGAACGAAGUAGCAAUACUUAGUGGCAGACGGGUGAGUAACAUGUAGGUAUCUACCCUUUGGCCUGGAAUAACACGAGGAAACUUGUGCUAAUACCGGAUAAGUCUUUACGGAGAAAGCUUUAUGCACCAUUGGAUGAGCCUGCACUUGAUUAGUUUGUUGGUGGGGUAAUGGCCUACCAAGACUGUGAUCAAUAGCUGAUUUGAGAGGAUGAUCAGCCACAUUGGGACUGAGACACGGCCCAAACUCCUACGGGAGGCAGCAGUGGGGAAUCUUGCACAAUGGAGGAAACUCUGAUGCAGCGAUGCCGCGUGAGUGAAGAAGGCCUUUGGGUUGUAAAGCUCUUUCGUCGGGGAAGAAAAUGACUGUACCCGAAUAAGAAGGUCCGGCUAACUUCGUGCCAGCAGCCGCGGUAAUACGAAGGGACCUAGCGUAGUUCGGAAUUACUGGGCUUAAAGAGUUCGUAGGUGGUUGAAAAAGUUAGUGGUGAAAUCCCAGAGCUUAACUCUGGAACUGCCAUUAAAACUUUUCAGCUAGAGUAUGAUAGAGGAAAGCAGAAUUUCUAGUGUAGAGGUGAAAUUCGUAGAUAUUAGAAAGAAUACCAAUUGCGAAGGCAGCUUUCUGGAUCAUAACUGACACUGAGGAACGAAAGCAUGGGUAGCGAAGAGGAUUAGAUACCCUCGUAGUCCAUGCCGUAAACGAUGUGUGUUAGACGUUGGAAAUUUAUUUUCAGUGUCGCAGCGAAAGCGAUAAACACACCGCCUGGGGAGUACGACCGC